This 474-nucleotide ribosomal RNA is filed under the name uncultured Variovorax sp. Its description in RNAcentral is "bacterial SSU rRNA". It matches the Rfam family "Bacterial small subunit ribosomal RNA", at positions 462 to 940 of the family's 1533-position model. Lineage: Bacteria; Pseudomonadati; Pseudomonadota; Betaproteobacteria; Burkholderiales; Comamonadaceae. The record is from RNAcentral.
ACCUGUGUUGCCGGAAGAGAAUAAACACCGGCUAACUACGUGCCAGCAGCCGCGGUAAUACGUAAGGCGCAAGCGUUAAUCGGAAUUAAUGGGCGUAAAGCGUGCGCAGGCGGUAAUGUAAGACAGUUGUGAAAUCCCCGGGCUCAACCUGGGAACUGCAUCUGUGACUGCAUUACUGGAGUACGGCAAAGGGGGAUGGAAUUCCGCGUGUAGCAGUGAAAUGCGUAGAUAUGCGAAGGAACACCGAUGGCGAAGGCAAUCCCCUGGGCCUGUACUGACGCUCAUGCACGAAAGCGUGGGGAGCAAACAGGAUUAGAUACCCUGGUAGUCCACGCCCUAAACGAUGUCAACUGGUUGUUGGGUCUUCACUGACUCAGUAACGAACCUAACGCGUGAAGUUGACCGCCUGGGGAGUACGGCCGCAAGGUUGAAACUCUAGGGAAUUGACGGAAGCUUAAAAAUAUUUAAAAUAAU